GCCUUCAUGGUGUAGUGGUCAGCACGCUCGACGCGUCCGAGAGGUCCGUGGUUCGAUUCCCGGCGAAGGAG
This 71-nucleotide transfer RNA is filed under the name Stegodyphus mimosarum. It matches the Rfam family "tRNA". Rfam says of the family: Transfer RNA (tRNA) molecules are approximately 80 nucleotides in length. Their secondary structure includes four short double-helical elements and three loops (D, anti-codon, and T loops). The record is from Rfam by way of RNAcentral. Lineage: Eukaryota; Metazoa; Arthropoda; Arachnida; Araneae; Eresidae.